Molecule: ribosomal RNA, 253 nt
Filed under: uncultured bacterium
Lineage: Bacteria
Description: partial 16S ribosomal RNA
Rfam family: Bacterial small subunit ribosomal RNA
Source: RNAcentral
UACGUAGGUGGCAAGCGUUGUCCGGAUUUACUGGGCGUAAAGGGUGCGUAGGCGGAUGUUUAAGUGGGAUGUGAAAUACCCGAGCUCAACUUGGGUGCUGCAUUCCAAACUGAAUAUCUAGAGUGCAGGAGAGGAGAGUGGAAUUCCUAGUGUAGCGGUGAAAUGCGUAGAGAUUAGGAAGAACACCAGUGGCGAAGGCGACUCUCUGGACUGUAACUGACGCUGAGGCACGAAAGCGUGGGGAGCAAACAGG